UACGUAGGGGGCAAGCGUUGUCCGGAUUUAUUGGGCGUAAAGAGCGUGUAGGCGGCCAGGUAGGUCAGCUGUGAAAACUCGAGGCUCAACCUCGAGCUGUCGGCUGAAACCAUCUGGCUAGAGUCCGGAAGAGGAGAAUGGAAUUCCCGGUGUAGCGGUGAAAUGCGCAGAUAUCGGGAAGAACACCCGUGGCGAAGGCGGGUCUCUGGGCCGAUACUGACGCUGAGGAGCGAAAGCGUGGGGAGCGAACAGG
RNAcentral lists this ribosomal RNA (253 nucleotides) under uncultured bacterium. RNAcentral describes it as "partial 16S ribosomal RNA". It matches the Rfam family "Bacterial small subunit ribosomal RNA", at positions 524 to 776 of the family's 1533-position model. The record is from RNAcentral.